AUUGAUGGCGAGUGGCGAACGGGUGAGUAAUACACCGGAACGUGCCCUGUAGUGGGGGAUAACUAGUCGAAAGAUUAGCUAAUACCGCAUACGACCUGAGGGUGAAAGUGGGGGACCGCAAGGCCUCAUGCUAUAGGAGCGGCCGAUGUCUGAUUAGCUAGUUGGUGAGGUAAAGGCUCACCAAGGCGACGAUCAGUAGCUGGUCUGAGAGGACGAUCAGCCACACUGGGACUGAGACACGGCCCAGACUCCUACGGGAGGCAGCAGUGGGGAAUUUUGGACAAUGGGCGAAAGCCUGAUCCAGCAAUGCCGCGUGUGUGAAGAAGGCCUUCGGGUUGUAAAGCACUUUUGUCCGGAAAGAGAUGGCUCUGGUUAAUACCUGGGGUCGAUGACGGUACCGGAAGAAUAAGGACCGGCUAACUACGUGCCAGCAGCCGCGGUAAUACGUAGGGUCCAAGCGUUAAUCGGAAUUACUGGGCGUAAAGCGUGCGCAGGCGGUUGUGCAAGACCGAUGUGAAAUCCCCGAGCUUAACUUGGGAAUUGCAUUGGUGACUGCACGGCUAGAGUGUGUCAGAGGGGGGUAGAAUUCCACGUGUAGCAGUGAAAUGCGUAGAGAUGUGGAGGAAUACCGAUGG
This 635-nucleotide ribosomal RNA is filed under the name uncultured Ralstonia sp. RNAcentral describes it as "bacterial SSU rRNA". It matches the Rfam family "Bacterial small subunit ribosomal RNA", at positions 84 to 715 of the family's 1533-position model. The record is from RNAcentral. Lineage: Bacteria; Pseudomonadati; Pseudomonadota; Betaproteobacteria; Burkholderiales; Burkholderiaceae.